GAGCCAUUAGCUCAGCAGGCAGAGCACCGGACUUUUAAUCCGGGUGUCCCGCGUUCGAAUCGCGGAUGGCUCACCA
RNAcentral lists this transfer RNA (76 nucleotides) under Bacillota bacterium. RNAcentral describes it as "Firmicutes bacterium (anaerobic digester metagenome) tRNA-Lys". It matches the Rfam family "tRNA". From Rfam's summary of the family: Transfer RNA (tRNA) molecules are approximately 80 nucleotides in length. Their secondary structure includes four short double-helical elements and three loops (D, anti-codon, and T loops). The record is from RNAcentral. Lineage: Bacteria; Bacillati; Bacillota.